Molecule: ribosomal RNA, 497 nt
Filed under: uncultured bacterium
Lineage: Bacteria
Description: partial 16S ribosomal RNA
Rfam family: Bacterial small subunit ribosomal RNA
Source: RNAcentral
GAUGAACGCUGGCGGCGUGCCUAAUACAUGCAAGUCGAGCGAACAGAUGAGGAGCUUGCUCCUCUGACGUUAGCGGCGGACGGGUGAGUAACACGUGGAUAACCUACCUAUAAGACUGGGAUAACUUCGGGAAACCGGAGCUAAUACCGGAUAAUAUAUUAAACCGCAUGGUUCAAUAGUGAAAGACGGUUUUGCUGUCACUUAUAGAUGGAUCCGCGCCGGAUUAGCUAGUUGGUAAGGUAACGGCUUACCAAGGCAACGAUGCGUAGCCGACCUGAGAGGGUGAUCGGCCACACUGGAACUGAGACACGGUCCAGACUCCUACGGGAGGCAGCAGUAGGGAAUCUUGCGCAAUGGGCGAAAGCCUGACGGAGCAACGCCGCGUGAGUGAUGAAGGUCUUCGGAUCGUAAAACUCUGUUAUUCGGGAAGAACAAAUGUGUAAGUAAAUAUGCACGUGUUGACGGUACCUGAUCAGAAAGCCACGGCUAACUACGUG